Molecule: non-coding RNA, 153 nt
Organism: Paramuricea clavata
Lineage: Eukaryota; Metazoa; Cnidaria; Anthozoa; Malacalcyonacea; Plexauridae
Source: the annotation of a GenBank genome assembly
GGAAGUUUCGAAAACACCAUUCUUACGAGCAAUGCUGAUAUCAAGAAAGAGAAGUGUGGAACUAGAUUCAAUUUCACUGGUGAAUUUGAUAUUAGGAUGUCAGCGAUUCUUGAUAUCAGCAUUUCUCGUACGAAUGGUGUUUUCGAAACUUCC